This 653-nucleotide ribosomal RNA is filed under the name uncultured Eubacteriales bacterium. RNAcentral describes it as "bacterial SSU rRNA". It matches the Rfam family "Bacterial small subunit ribosomal RNA", at positions 145 to 811 of the family's 1533-position model. The record is from RNAcentral. Lineage: Bacteria; Bacillati; Bacillota; Clostridia; Eubacteriales.
AACACCGGGAAACCGGUGCUAAUACCGCAUGAGACCACGACUCUGAGUGGAGUUGAGGUAAAAGAUUUAUCGCACAAAGAUGAGCUCGCGUCCCAUUAGAUAGUUGGCGGGGUAACGGCCCACCAAGUCGACGAUGGGUAGCCGACCUGAGAGGGUGAUCGGCCACACUGGAACUGAGACACGGUCCAGACUCCUACGGGAGGCAGCAGUGGGGAAUAUUGGGCAAUGGGCGCAAGCCUGACCCAGCAACGCCGCGUGAGGGAAGAAGGUCUUCGGAUUGUAAACCUCUGUCCUUGGGGACGAAAAAAAUGACGGUACCCAAGGAGGAAGCUCCGGCUAACUACGUGCCAGCAGCCGCGGUAAUACGUAGGGAGCGAGCGUUGUCCGGAAUUACUGGGCGUAAAGGGUGCGUAGGCGGCGAUGCAAGUCAGAUGUGAAAUCCCCGGGCUUAACUCGGGGGGUGCAUUUGAAACUGCAUGGCUUGAGUGCAGGAGAGGAAAGCGGAAUUCCUAGUGUAGCGGUGAAAUGCGUAGAUAUUAGGAAGAACACCAGUCGCGAAGGCGGCUUUCUGGACUGUAACUGACGCUGAGGCACGAAAGCGUGGGGGAGCAAACAGGGAUUAGAUACUCUGGUAGUCCACGCUGUAAACGAUG